CCUACGGGUGGCAGCAGUGGGGAAUAUUGGACAAUGGGGGCAACCCUGAUCCAGCCAUGCCGCGUGUGUGAAGAAGGCCCUCGGGUUGUAAAGCACUUUCAGUGAGGAAGAACGCCUGGUGGUUAAUACCCAUCAGGAAAGACAUCACUCACAGAAGAAGCACCGGCUAACUCCGUGCCAGCAGCCGCGGUAAUACGGAGGGUGCGAGCGUUAAUCGGAAUUACUGGGCGUAAAGCGCGCGUAGGUGGCUUGAUAAGCCGGUUGUGAAAGCCCCGGGCUCAACCUGGGAACGGCAUCCGGAAGUGUCAGGCUAGAGGGCAGGAGAGGAAGGAAGAACUCCCGGUGUAGCGGGGAAAUGCGUAGAGAUCGGGAGGAAUACCAGCGGCGAAGGCGGCCCUCUGGACUGAGAGUGCCCCUGAGGUGCGAAAGCGUGGGCAGCAAUCAGGAUAAGCUACACCAGUAGUC
This 465-nucleotide ribosomal RNA is filed under the name Vreelandella stevensii. RNAcentral's name for it is "partial 16S ribosomal RNA". It matches the Rfam family "Bacterial small subunit ribosomal RNA", at positions 338 to 795 of the family's 1533-position model. The record is from RNAcentral. Lineage: Bacteria; Pseudomonadati; Pseudomonadota; Gammaproteobacteria; Oceanospirillales; Halomonadaceae.